AUUGAACGCUGGCGGCAGGCCUAACACAUGCAAGUCGAACGAGUGGCGGACGGGUGAGUAGUGUCUGGGAAACUGGCCGAUGGAGGGGGAUAACGACGGGAAACGGUAGCUACUACCGCAUACCAUCGGAUGUGCCCAGGUGGGAUUAGCGAGUAGGUGGGGUAACGGCUCACCUAGGCGACGAUCCCUAGCUGGCCUGAGAGGAUGAUCGGCCACACUGGGACUGAGACACGGCCCAGACUCCUACGGGAGGCAGCAGUGGGGAAUAUUCCACAAUGGGCGAAAGCCUGACGCAGCCACGCCGCGUGUAUGAAGAAGGCCUUCGGGUUGUAAAGCACUUUCAGUGGGGAGGCGGUACUCGCAGAAGAAGCAACGGCUAACUCCGUGCCAGCAGCCGCGGUAAUAC
Molecule: ribosomal RNA, 406 nt
Filed under: uncultured bacterium
Lineage: Bacteria
Description: partial 16S ribosomal RNA
Rfam family: Bacterial small subunit ribosomal RNA
Source: RNAcentral